GGUGCUAUAGCUGCUUACAAUGAGGCUACUGGAGUUUGACUAUACAUAAACAUGGAUCUCAAUGAGCUCUUAUAGUGGAUGUUGGCGAUAGUUGAUCCACUAUAGGAGUAGAAUGUACACAUAGAUGGGAUCUAGCGACCCUAGCAAAAGGGAAUAGUCCUAUGAAAUUUAUGAAACUGAGUCUUUAAGUCCAUGGCCAUAGCA
RNAcentral lists this long non-coding RNA (204 nucleotides) under Elaeis guineensis (African oil palm). Its description in RNAcentral is "long non-coding RNA (EGUI_LNC070496)". The record is from RNAcentral. Lineage: Eukaryota; Viridiplantae; Streptophyta; Magnoliopsida; Arecales; Arecaceae.